ACAGCAGUCGCCGCGGGAAUACGAAGGGUGCAAGCGUUACUCGGAAUUACUGGGCGUAAAGCGUGCGUAGGUGGUGGUUUAAGUCCGUUGUGAAAGCCCUGGGCUCAACCUGGGAAUUGCAGUGGAUACUGGGUCACUAGAGUGUGGUAGAGGAUAGUGGAAUUUCCGGUGUAGCAGUGAAAUGCGUAGAGAUCGGAAGGAACAUCUGUGGCGAAGGCGACUAUCUGGGCCAACACUGACACUGAGGCACGAAAGCGUGGGGAGCAAACAGGAUUAGAUACCCGUGUAGUCCCUGUCUCUUAUAC
This 305-nucleotide ribosomal RNA is filed under the name uncultured bacterium. RNAcentral describes it as "partial 16S ribosomal RNA". It matches the Rfam family "Bacterial small subunit ribosomal RNA", at positions 508 to 807 of the family's 1533-position model. The record is from RNAcentral.